RNAcentral lists this ribosomal RNA (399 nucleotides) under uncultured Arthrobacter sp. Its description in RNAcentral is "bacterial SSU rRNA". It matches the Rfam family "Bacterial small subunit ribosomal RNA", at positions 999 to 1397 of the family's 1533-position model. The record is from RNAcentral. Lineage: Bacteria; Bacillati; Actinomycetota; Actinomycetes; Micrococcales; Micrococcaceae.
GCUGGAAACAGUCCUUCCCCUUUGGGGCCGGUUCACAGGUGGUGCAUGGUUGUCGUCAGCUCGUGUCGUGAGAUGUUGGGUUAAGUCCCGCAACGAGCGCAACCCUCGUUCCAUGUUGCCAGCGCGUAAUGCCGGGGACUCAUGGGAGACUGCCGGGGUCAACUCGGAGGAAGGUGGGGACGACGUCAAAUCAUCAUGCCCCUUAUGUCUUGGGCUUCACGCAUGCUACAAUGGCCGGUACAAUGGGUUGCGAUACUGUGAGGUGGAGCUAAUCCCAAAAAGCCGGUCUCAGUUCGGAUUGGGGUCUGCAACUCGACCCCAUGAAGUCGGAGUCGCUAGUAAUCGCAGAUCAGCAACGCUGCGGUGAAUACGUUCCCGGGUCUUGCACACACCGCCCGU